Molecule: ribosomal RNA, 428 nt
Filed under: Lithadia brasiliensis
Lineage: Eukaryota; Metazoa; Arthropoda; Malacostraca; Decapoda; Leucosiidae
Description: partial 16S ribosomal RNA
Rfam family: Archaeal large subunit ribosomal RNA
Source: RNAcentral
CCGUGCAAAGGUAGCAUAAUAAUUAGUUUUUUAAUUGAAAACUUGUAUGAAUGGUCGGACAAAACAAAAACUGUCUCUAUUGUAAAAAUGGAAUUUAACUUUUAAGUGAAAAGGCUUAAAUAACUCAACGGGACGAUAAGACCCUAUAAGCUUUAUAUUUUAAAUUAAUUAAUUUAAAAAUAAAAUUAAAUGUAUUUAUUAAUAAAAUAUUUGGCUGGGGCGGCAUAUUUAAAAAUUUUAUUAACUUUUUAAAAUUUAACCACAUUUAAGUGAAAGAUAAGAGAUCCUUUUUAAAGAUUUUAAGAUUAGUUACUUUAGGGAUAACAGCGUUAUUUUUUUUGAGAGCCCAUAUCGAAAAAAAAGAUUGCGACCUCGAUGUUGAAUUAAAAUUUCUAUAUAGUGCAGCAGCUUUAUAAGAGGGUCUGUUC